This 8849-nucleotide long non-coding RNA is filed under the name Malus domestica (apple). RNAcentral describes it as "long non-coding RNA (MDOM_LNC004258)". The record is from RNAcentral. Lineage: Eukaryota; Viridiplantae; Streptophyta; Magnoliopsida; Rosales; Rosaceae.
UUCUAUAAUUUCGUCUAAGCAAGUCAUCUCUAUGAAGGAUUCUUCGUUAUCCACUUCGUUGUUCGAGCACCUAGACCUGGUAGCAUCUGCAAAACUAUUUAAUCGUUUCAUUCAGAUAUCAGGACAAGAGGUCGCACUUGGUGCGAUAGCAAGUGCCUUCGCCCAUGAGCGGUAGGUCUCGGGUUCGAGACUUGGGAGCAGCCUCUCCAUAAAUGGGGGUAAGGCUAGCUGACAUUCACCUCUCCCAGACCCUGCGUAAAGCGGGAGCCUUGUGCACUGGGUACGACCUUUAUCAGAUAUCAGGACAACCAAGACUGAAACAAGUAUCAACUUAUAAUUCCAACAGAAUUUAAUUCAAAUAACAAUUUGAUAACAAUCACCAACUCAAAAGACCCGAAGCAGAAGAUGCCCAGCCAGCACAAUGCCAUUCGAACAUAGUGAGGAAAAAAGAGAGCUCGAAUGAGAUGAAAAACUAACGAUAAUUUAUAGAUUCACCUCUCAAAAAUGAGUACCUAUAAAUUUAAGUUUCUCGAAUCUGAUCAGCCAAGAAAGCAACAAAUUUCUGCAAUAUGUUCAUACACAAAAGAUCCUUGGAUACUAAAUUAAAGUAGAGAGCACUCCCAACCACUACUUUCGAUCCAAAAGAACAGAUGAGAAAAAUUAUGUAAGGCUUUAUGUAUUUCUCAGUCGAUCAAUAGCAUCAUUCAUUUCUUUAAAUAAGUAAAAUAAAGAUAUUGUACCUGAAAUAAUUGAGACAGUCUUUACAGCCUUCUACUUGCCUUUGAGAUAAUGUAAAUCCAACUUCAGUAAAAUCUUCUGCAAGAACAAAUAAAAAAUACCAAGAGAUCUAGUUCAGGAUCACUUGCUAAAUUUAGACGAGGUUUUCAUGAAGAAUUAAACUUUAAUAGGAAAAUGCACAGUUCGACCAAUCCCAGAUUGAGACUUAUGUGCUACUUAGAUCCAUCUAAUUAAAUUUUCCUACAAGUAAAACUACGAAACCAAUAUGAUUUGAGCAAACCCCAUCAACAACAAUACUCUACUAUAGAGCAAUGUAAUUACAAAGUAAAUAGUCUUGGGAAGGACAAAUAUGAUGAAGAAGAAAUUUGAACGCAAUUAAUACAAAAGAAAACAACGGACAUAAAAUCAAUUACUCAACUCAUCAAAGUCACAUUCCAGCUACUUGACGUGCCAUUGAUUUCACGAAUCAAUAAGCUGAAGUGCCUAUACUGUGGUUAUAGAUGAAUCAGUUUACCAGUUUGCCAUUGAUUUCACGCAUCAAUAACUUGGAGUUAUCAACAACGCAUUUGCUUUCAUAAACUAUAUAACUACACAGUUCAUGCCUGGGUGCUGGCUUGAGCGAUUUUAAUUCAACAAGGGGAUCUCUAAUCUGAGACUUGCUCAAGAUCUCCCUUGCUGGCUGGACAUGAUUCCACCAAAAAUCCGAGAGAACUAUUUUCAGAACAUCCCAGUAUUCUGCAUCCCGAUAUACCCUGAACAGGCUGCUCCCUUUAGGAGUCCAAACAUAGAAAUCCAUCCAAUCCCUGUCAAGUAUUUCCAUUAAACCCUGAGCCUGUGGAACACAGUAUAGAGGAAUUCGUGACCAAGGGGUAGCCUUCGUCAUAUUUCCAUAAAAAAAUGGACAUUUAAUCUCCAAUACUCCUCGUGAAGGCAAUCCGUAUACCAGCCUAUCAAUCACCCCAUCCGGUGAAGCUCCCAACCAAUCCUCUCCAACAUUCCUAUUACCAUAAACUUGAAAUUCAGGAAACAAAACGGAAUUUCCUGUUAUCAGCUUGUAUCUUUCAAGUGCUUCCUCUUCUUUGAUAUUGCUCCAACACGUAGCCAAAUUACCAGAAAAUGGCUCAAGGGCUCCAAUCUUCUCUAGCCAAAGCUGGAGUCGUCUGCGAUGAAAUAAACCAACCGCUGCAGCAAAAGUACUUGCUGUCAGUUUAUUUUUUCUGAGUCCUUGCCAAUUUUUGAACCAGUGCUGAAGACCACUUGAAUUAAGAACAGAAUAACCUUCAGAAGAAGCAAAUCUCAUAGAACAACGAGAAUGGUUGAGAACUUGUCUGCGGUUGGCAAACAUAAUAGGAGCCAGAACUGAAAAGAAAUAGUUGAUGUAGCUUCUCCGACUAGUAGAAUCUGUUCUGUAACAAGAAAACAUUUUUAUUUUCUGGCAAUCCCAAUAAAACCUACGAAUGUGAUACUUGCAAUUCUUGUGUAUUGACAGGUGAACAAAAAGGGCAAGCAAGAAGCAAAUAUCUCAGCUCAUGGAAAACAAAUGCAAGGCCAAAGACAUACCAAUUGCUACACAACAAAUGAGAGUGUCGGUAUAAGAAAUGCAAACUUAUGCAUACACACACGAACACGAAUAUCCACAAAAUCGCUGAUAUAUUCUCAAUAUAGAUAAACGGGGGUGGGGGGUUGAAGCGCAUAUCUUCCCUAUAACGGCGACGGUGGCUGCGAAUUUCAGAGAAACUAGAAUUUACGCAGGAAAUAUCCACAAGAAGAGCCCCCAGAAUCCUAAAGUUUAGCCCUAACUGGCGAUUCAUAAUCUAAUUCUCCCAAAUUCAAACCCUAAUAUUUCAGUGACCCAGAAAACUAACACCAUAGAAUUAAAAGGAAUCAAAAUCAAUCACUGAGCAUGCCAAAAAACAAAAAGUGGAGCCACUAGUUGCAGAAGAGACGGGGAGAGAGAUUCAGAGACGUACCAAGAGGGGAAGGGGAAGGGGAAGGACACUGGUGAGAGGUUGAAGAAGAUCCUGCGGCAGCAUUAGAUGGUUGAGGCUGGAGAGAUUUUGGAAUUUGUUAACUGCGUCCGGGUGGGCAAGUCUUAGGGUUUAAGCUGGGGUUUUGGUUUUUAAUAUUUUUAAUUUUUAAAAUUGGGCGUUGGGUUUUGCUUUUUUUUUGUUUUUGUUUUUUGAAGAAACAAUAGCAUUCAUUGAUGGAAUGGAGCCAAAAACAUCCCCAUUAUAAGUAGUACAUCAGAGAUUACAAUUUGAUAGAGGGACCAUUUACAGGCAGUCCUCAACAAGAUCCAAGAUGAAAGUAGGUGGGCUUGAGAGCCAUUCGCAGUGGUUGCCAAUCGACAAGCUAAACCGAGCUAGGUGAUGGGCUACAAUGUUAGCUUGGCGUCGAAUAUGGGAAUAUAAGUCUUUAGUGAUUGAAGGGAGAAGAGCCCUUGUACCCUCCAUGAUCUGGCCAAUGGAUGACCGGUUAGGGGAGAGGUUCGCUAGCGCACCCAUAAUUUGAAGAGAAUCACCUUCCAUUACCCUGGUGGGGCGGGGCGGACAGUGAGCGAAAGAUCCAUUGGCUUUCUUGGGAUAAGUUAUGCCUCCCAAAAUCAGAGAGGGGUUUGGGGUUUCGCAAUUUCCACACUUUUAACCUAGCUUUAUUAGCCAAGCAAGCCUGGAGGAUAAUCAUUGAACCCAACUCCCUGAUGGCAAGGAUCCUUAAGGCCAAGUACUUCCCUGCGGGCUCGUUCAUAGAAACAGAAUUGAAACCAAACUCCUCUUUCUACUGGAGAAGUAUAAGUGGUGCCAGAGAAGUAAUUCGUAGGGGAAUACGAUGGAUGAUUGGGAAUGGAAAAUCAGUAAAAUUGUGGGAGGACCCCUAGAUCCCUUUGUCUUCCAACUUCCAUGUCCUCUCCCCAAAACUAGCAAAUUACAACCUGGAGUAUGUGGCGGAUUGGAUUGACCCUGUCUCGAAAUAUUGGAGGGUUGAUCUUUUCACUCCACUCCUAACUACUGUUAAGAUCGUCUAAUCCGUUCACUUCCCCUUAGUUUGGCUAGAGAAGAUUGGAGCCCUUGAGCCAUUUUCGGGUAAUUUGGCUACCUGUUGGAGCAAUAUCAAAGAAGAGGAAGCACUUGAAAGAUACAAGCUGAUAACAGGAAAUUCUGUUUUGUUUCCUGAAUUUCAAGUUUAUGGUAAUAGGAAUGUUGGAGAGGAUUGGCUGGGAGCUUCACCGGAUGGGGUGAUUGAUAGGCUGGUAUACGGAUUGUCUUCACGAUGACUAUUGGAGAUUAAGUGUCCAUUGAUAGGGCUGGAUCCCAGUUGAGACCGGGAUACGAGCGUGGACCUGUUUCAGGGUCGGGAGGUUCUGGCAUGAAUGCAGCAGCACUGAGCUUGACAAAGAAGAAGAAGAAGAAGAAUAAGAAGAAAAAAGAGAGGGGCGAUGUGGUGGUAGUGGGAUUUCAAGUGAUGAGUUCGAAGUAGCAGAGCAAGCUUGGAGUGGACAGACGAGAACUCGAAACGUUGGAAAACAUUGAAAUGGGAAGAAAUCUUGAAAGAUUAAGACGAGGACUUGAAAUCUAGAAAAGCUAGAGAGACUGUAUUCUCAGUUUUGUGCACAAAGGAGGUUCAAAUCAGUGGGUGAAAGAAUAAAACAUAGUGCCAAAGAGUCCCACAUCGACUACUCGCAAGGAAGUGAUGUGGUUUAUAUAGCUUCACUUGCCGGCAAGGUUUACAACCUUACUUGAACAGGAUCUGUUCUAUAGGAUCGUACCUAGGGCUGGUUCGGUAUGGGAUACCGAACCAAAAUGCAAGUCCCGAUUCCCAAACCGAAGUUUUCGGGAAUACCAAACCAAAUUUUCGGGAUUUCGGGAUAAUCGGGAAUCCCAAAAUAGUUUUGGGCUUUUGGGCUAUUGGACUAAAAAUUGAAGAGAGAAAUACUGCUUGAAGAAAGAAACAUGUGCAAAUACAUAAGCAAAAUGGGAACAUCAGAAAUUAAAGUAGAGAGGACCAAAGACAUUCAAUAUCAUAUAACCGACAGGACCAAAGAAGUUACAGUCAAUUCGAUUAUGGCAACAGAUUUAAAAUGUUGAUCAUUCUUCAUUCGAAAAGGCAUGAAUCAUGAUACAAUGAUCAUUGAUCAACAUAACACUAGAGCUCCUCUGUUGCUCCAGCCUAUCUUGUAAUUUUUAUAUUCUUCAACAUACAUUGCAGGCUGUUCUAAUAUGUAAUCUCGCAUACAUAAUAUAGUGAGAUAAAAUCAUAAAAUGGUAACCUUCAUCCAGAAAUAUUCAACAUAAUAAUCACUAUCUCAUUAAUAAGUACACAGGUUGCAAUAAGUACACAUUAAUAUAUCACAACCACAGUUCAGCAUAUAUCCAAAUUCCAAUCAAUAAAUAAAAUAAAUGGUUCAAAAAUCUGAGCAUUCAACAUAGAAAUAUAUGGUUGUGAGAAAAAGAACUCAAAAUAUAUAACAGAAAGAUAAGAUAGUAAGAACAAGCAAGAGUUGGAAAUCUUAAUGUAUAACAGAAAGAUAAGAUAGUAAGAGCAUUCAACAUAGAACAAUGUGGUAACCAUGUCAGGUAAAUAUCAUCUUGGCCGUCAUUUACUUGCCGCCUGAACCCCCCAAAUCAGGGGAAUAACAAGCAAGAGUUGGAAAUAUGCAUAAGUGUAGACAAAUCCUAUUGAUAUGCUAGGAUAACAUUCAUAAACAAUUUUGCCAUGCUGAUUAUUAUUUUGGUUUGAUAGACAUGUUUGAAAGCAUAUUAGAGGUGACGUAGGGCAGGACAAUAAAGAAAAUCUUCUCUAUUGGAUAACAAAUGAACAUCUCCAAUUCACUACCAAAAACCCUUUUGAAUCAAGUCGAGCACAGACACAAAUUUAGCUUUUUGAUAAUCUUAAUAAAUUUAACAAAUGGGUUAAGGGCUUAAGAGAUAGAGACUGACCUCCUUGAACAAAUUUCUUGUGCACCCGCUUGACGUGCUGAAGAUUUUCCAGCGGUGCAAUUUGGUUCAAACGCCUACACAAUUACAUCAACUUGGUCAAAAGAAAGAAAGAAUAAACAAGGCCAUUAGUAAAUCAUUUUAUAAACAUGAUUUACUGCUGGUUUCCAUUGAAUUCAACCUUAUGAAUUCUAACAUUCAACAACACAAACCAAACCUUAUCAAUGUCCUCCACAGCCAACAAAUUACACACAAGAGGACACAACUUUAAGAAAUUCCCAAACACUGUUUUAUCAAUAUCGCAAUUCUACAAAAACCCAAAUUCCCAAUUCGAUUAAGUUCACUUAUUACUAAGCAAAACACUUGCACAAAUUUAUAAACAAAUGCAACAAUAAAGGAUUAAAUUUGAUAACAGGGGCUGUUCCUUUGAGCAGAAAAUCCUCAUAAAAAUUGAAACUAUAACAAAAAUAAUAAAUCGAUUACUUGAUUGUAUAAUAACUCUGUACCAGGAAAAGUUACAACAAUGAAUUGGUCAACUGAAAGGAAAGGAACCCUAUUGGAAACUAGGACAGUGUUUUCUACUAUACCGGAUGGCAAUUGCUAUUACCAAAAAUUCUAGGAUGCUCCGGACUAGAUAUAUUCCAAAUUGUGUAAUUAUUAUAUCUUGAUUUUUGAAAAUUUUAACCGUUAAAAUAUCCGUUGUACACCUCCAUUCUCCGUAGUAGUUGUAGAAAUGCUUCAAUGCUGCCACAUAGGGGUGGGCACAGGCCGGGCCCCUAGUGGAAAAUAUUUUAAUGUGGAUUAAAGCCGCGAAAAACCCAGAACAGUUAAGGUAAUUCAUUCGGCUCCUACGGGUCCACAGGCCUUUUUUUUAGUAAAUUUUUUUAUAUUUCUUUGGUCCACAGGUCCACAGACCUUCUAUUUUUUUUUUUUUUUUUUUUUUUUUUUUGAGAAGAAACAAUUUUAUUAAAGAAAAGAGAAAAACACAGAAGUGGAUAAGAAGUCCACCAACAAAUUAGAAAGGAAAAUCCUAAUAGGAAUUGGCUACAGUAGCCAAUUCUAGACCAAGCUCACUUAACUGCUGCUAACAAAUCCCACAGUAUUUGAGAUAGAGAGCAAUUAUUAAACUCUUUAGUAACCGAAGCCCAAAAAGAUGCCCAAUAUUUAACUCUCCCCCAAAGUACUUUUGCCCCCACUCCAGUAUAGUCUUCAAAAAUCCUUUUGUUGCGUUCCAGCCAUAUAUUCCAGAAAAUUGCCGAUACCAGGCAACCCCACAAAGCUUUGGAUUUUUUCCCUUUUCCAAGUGCCUUGAAAUUGGUGCUUAGUAGCUCAAAACACCCUUUAGGAAUGACCCAACUUACUUUAACCUCCUGAAACAGUUUCCACCACAGUUGUAUCGAGUAGGAGCAAUGAAGAAAGAUGUGAUUUACACUCUCCUCCUUAGCUUUACAUAAACUACACCAAUGUGGGGAUAAACAUAUCAUAGGGUUUCUCCUUUGAAUUUUGUCGCAAGUGUUGAGACUCCCAUUGGCCACAAGCCAUACAAGUAUUUUAACCUUCGGAGGAACUUUUGAUUUCCAAAUCUGAGAGUAGGGUGGAUAAUAGUGCACAAUCCCAUUGUUGCUCAGUAAUGACCGAUAGGAUUUGCAUGUGAACAAACCUGAAGUUUCUAGGUUCCACCUUCUGUUAUCCAUUUUUGAUGGAGACAAGCGAACCACUUCCACUUUCUGUAAUAAGCUGGCCGCCUCUUCUAUCUCCAUCUCAUUCAGAUUUCUCCUAAAAUCAAAGUUCCAACUCAAGGAACUUGACGAAGCUUCCACAAAGCUAGAUAUGUUAUGAUUAUGCUUCCUCGAUAAUAAGAAUAAUCUGGGGAAUUGCUCCUUCAGCGGUCCCCCUACUAACCACCCAUCCUCCCAAAACCUAACCCUCUCUCCAUUGCCCACCUCAAACUUGCAACAACUAACUUUUUUUGAGGAGGAGGGAUUUGGAGAAGGCAAUGAUGAUUGUGAUUGUAAGGCUUGUGGUGAUUGUGGAGGACAUGGUGAUGUAGCCAUAGAAGAUGCUACACUACUAGGGGUGCUUUGAGACAUUAUGUACAACUUUCAAGUAAAUAUUACAUAAGAAUAUAAAGGCACCACGAAAGCAUUCAGAUGGCCUCAGAACCCUAAUUGCUACCACUCGAGUUAUAUGUCUCUCUCUAAUGACCAAUGAAAAAUAAAAGCUUGAAAAAAGUUUAACUUUUUUCCGUGGGCUAGUUCAUUUUAUAUUCUUAUGCUCGCACUAAUAUGAGAUUCAAAGUUUGAUUAUUGUUUUAGACCCCAAAUAUCCCACAAUCUCUACAAUCACAUAUGUGCAGCAGGGACGUCUCUUUCCCAAAUUUAAAAAAAAAGGAGCACAUCCAUGUAAAGCCAAAGAGUUCUUCAACAUAUUCAGAUCAAGCACAAUCAUUUUCCCUCACCGAACACAUAAUUAAGAGAACUUAAAAACCAAUACCCAUGAUAUCAUAACAUCAGACAGUAAUCAGGUGGAUUUUGUUGAAUUUACGGUCCAUAUUGAUUGUCUGAUUAUAAAACAUAAUAAUUACACAAAAUUUACCAUAUAAAUUAUGAGGAAAGUAUGUUUGAGCUACACAAUUAUGGAUACAGAACCGCACACCAAGUGUUUGACGAAAUGCCACAGUGAAACUACCACAGGAAAACAUACCAGUCCACCGUACAACAACUGGUAAAACAAUCAGGGCAGAAAUAUUAACAAUUCAAAAUUAAGCUAAACAUAAAUUUAAUUCAGCAAAAAUGUUAAUGAUCACAGCAAAAACAUUUCUGAUUCGAAAAAUUAAGAAAAGAAAAGUAAAGAUUUCUGGCAAAACAAUUAAGAUUAAUAUUAGGUGAUAAAAGAUUGAAUAAAAAGCGAAGAUUCAGAACCUGCAUGUACCUCUGAUCGCGAAGAAAGCAAGCCGAAAGCUAAUUCGCAGAGAAAGAUGGUGUGUUGUAUUUAUAUCUGGCUAGUAAAGAAGGAACCACCCCUAGCUAGUUUGGUUUCCAAGCAAACGGAGGCCAGGUAGUGUCCGUUGUGGAGUUCAGUCCGUGGCGUUCCCGUUGUGCAAGUUUUCUCUGUGGGCUUAUGGAUUUGUCUAAUAAAAAAGUAUUUGAAUUAGAAAUGGCCUUUUAAUGGAUAAAUGAU